AAAAGAUAUUGUUUAAGAUAAUUUACAUUGAUGUUUUGCAUUUUUGUUUGUAAGAAUACAGGUAUUUUAUUUACAUAUUGUUUAAUUAUUUCAAUGUGUUAAAUGAAAAGUAAUUUUCUUUUCUGUUUGUCUAUUGCAGGUUAGAGUACAUUUUGAACAGCCAUUUCCUGGAUAUACUCUGAAGACAGUGAUGUGCAAGUUCAAGGUUUGACUGUUCAGAAUUACUUUAAUGAUAAAGAAUGGGUGAAAAAAUUCUCACAUCAUGCUGCAUAACAGUACAUUUCAGCUGUAACAAAACAAAUUAUCUGAUGAAAGCUUCAACCACAAGAAUCUAAGGAAAGGAUGUCAAGUCCAAAGAGAAGAUUAUUAAUGAACAAUGAUAGAUUGAAUUAGCAACUGUAAAUGGCAUACCGGUACAUGCCAUAUAACAAUGAUUGCUAAAUUCAUGAAGACUAGCUGGGGUGAUGCAGUACUUUUCUACUCUUAUGAACCAUAUCUAAACAUCAUUUGAGGAUCCCUUUCUCAGAAAAAAAGAAUUUGCAUAUUCAAAGACUCUAUAGUUUAUCUGUAUGUUGUUUAACAUUCUUCUUGAGAAUUUUUCACUCAUAUGGGGAUGCCAACAUUUGCCAAUGGAGAGCUGCAAAUUUUGUCCUUUACUUGGCACACAUGGCUAAUUGAGCAAUGAGGGAUCUUUUUGGUGCUAGCACCUACUGCAAAACAGGACGUUUGUAUAUACAGUCUCAUUUCUAUGUCCAACUGUGGGAUUUCGAACCAGCAAUUUAAGGAUCAACUCCUUACCCAUGACUCUCGAGCAGACGCUCUUGCCAUUGUGCCAUGCAGGUGACUUCAUAGGUUAGAAAAUAAUAAGAUAAGAUUUAUAACUUAAAACUGAUGUUCUUAAUUCAAUCACAGUAUAGAAAAUGUUUGUAAAAAAGGAGGUAAUAGCUACAUGUAGCUCUCACUGGUAUUGCAUGCUUGAACUAUAUGAAUUACAUAUUGUAAUUACACAUGUAUUUUAAGCCAGAUCAGUAAAGAAAGAAACACUUGAAUAUAUUUACUCUGAAUUUUAUUAUAAGGUUGAUUAUCUUUAAAAAAUGGAACUUUAAUUUUUUUUGAGUAGGAAAAAAAAGUAUUUAGAAUGUACAUGUGCACUUAAUUUUGUUUAUUAAAAAUAGUCAAAAUUUGGAGAUUUUGUGAAGGGUAUCUAAAUAUAGAUUUAUAAAUUUUUACUUCAUUUUUAAACAGCAUAAUCUUUAUUAUAACAUAUGCCUGUAAUAUACAACUUAUAUGUUUUUAAACAUUCCAUUGUCUGUCUACAUGUAGUGCUUAGUGAAUUUCUUGUAAAUACAAACAUGAUUGCAUGCUGUUAGUUUACUUUGUCUUUUUUACAAUAUGAGUCAUGAUAUAUAAUGGUGUGCAUAUCAGUUUAAAUUAUUUUUGUUGAAUUCAGUUAACAGAAAAAAAUUAAUAACUGAAUAUAAAUAUGCAGAUAGAUACCUCCCAGAAAUAUUUGCAUGUACUAGCAGCUGCAGAUAUGUAGCUUAUGUGAAAUCAGGUAUACUUGAAAAUCAAUUUACCUGUAUUUAUUAAACAGAAAUUUAGUGAACACAUUCAUAUACCUAUGCAGUAUUUCAUGCUGAAAAUACACUGUGUGUUAAUGUUUUACUUAUUCAACAUAAGAAUUGACCAGAAAUGAA
Long non-coding RNA from Saccostrea cuccullata (small rock oyster), 1697 nucleotides. RefSeq lists it as uncharacterized. Lineage: Eukaryota; Metazoa; Mollusca; Bivalvia; Ostreida; Ostreidae. The record is from RefSeq and is a predicted model, not a curated record. The transcript is spliced from 6 exons.